CAACGACCCGCAACAGAAGCGGCAGCGGCGGCUGGAGGAGGGGAACAGCGCUAACUGUUUGUCACUUAUUCUUGACCGGUAAGCAAAUGAUUGCGUUUUAUGGGGCCUGCCAACUCGAUCCAAAACGAUGCUUUUGAGGUUAUGUAUGUGUGCCGCAGUAAGGCUUAGGCAAAAUCAAUUUUGCAAUAUAACUUUGAGUAAAACUUAAAUUGAAUCAACAAAGGAAACGCAAAGGAACGGAAAGGAAGAUGAUGCCUGGUCCUGGUCCUGGUCCCCGGUGUUCUCCUGGCAUUCUGUUCGACGAUCCUGGCCGACGAAUCCAUCGACACACGUGAGAAUGCGGA
This 344-nucleotide unclassified non-coding RNA is filed under the name Drosophila pseudoobscura pseudoobscura. RNAcentral describes it as "GA11750". The record is from RNAcentral. Lineage: Eukaryota; Metazoa; Arthropoda; Insecta; Diptera; Drosophilidae.